UUUUAUGGAGAGUUUGAUCCUGGCUCAGAGUGAACGCUGGCGGCGUGCCUAAUACAUGCAAGUCGAACGAUGAAGCUUCUAGCUUGCUAGAAGUGGAUUAGUGGCGCACGGGUGAGUAACGCAUAGGUCAUGUGCCUCUUAGUUUGGGAUAGCCAUUGGAAACGAUGAUUAAUACCAGAUACUCCCUACGGGGGAAAGAUUUAUCGCUAAGAGAUCAGCCUAUGUCCUAUCAGCUUGUUGGUAAGGUAAUGGCUUACCAAGGCUAUGACGGGUAUCCGGCCUGAGAGGGUGAACGGACACACUGGAACUGAGACACGGUCCAGACUCCUACGGGAGGCAGCAGUAGGGAAUAUUGCUCAAUGGGGGAAACCCUGAAGCAGCAACGCCGCGUGGAGGAUGAAGGUUUUAGGAUUGUAAACUCCUUUUGUUAGAGAAGAUAAUGACGGUAUCUAACGAAUAAGCACCGGCUAACUCCGUGCCAGCAGCCGCGGUAAUACGGAGGGUGCAAGCGUUACUCGGAAUCACUGGGCGUAAAGAGCGCGUAGGCGGGAUAGUCAGUCAGGUGUGAAAUCCUAUGGCUUAACCAUAGAACUGCAUUUGAAACUACUAUUCUAGAGUGUGGGAGAGGUAGGUGGAAUUCUUGGUGUAGGGGUAAAAUCCGUAGAGAUCAAGAGGAAUACUCAUUGCGAAGGCGACCUGCUGGAACAUUACUGACGCUGAUUGCGCGAAAGCGUGGGGAGCAAACAGGAUUAGAUACCCUGGUAGUCCACGCCCUAAACGAUGGAUGCUAGUUGUUGGAGGGCUUAGUCUCUCCAGUAAUGCAGCUAACGCAUUAAGCAUCCCGCCUGGGGAGUACGGUCGCAAGAUUAAAACUCAAAGGAAUAGACGGGGACCCGCACAAGCGGUGGAGCAUGUGGUUUAAUUCGAGGAUACACGAAGAACCUUACCUAGGCUUGACAUUGAGAGAAUCCGCUAGAAAUAGUGGAGUGUCUAGCUUGCUAGACCUUGAAAACAGGUGCUGCACGGCUGUCGUCAGCUCGUGUCGUGAGAUGUUGGGUUAAGUCCCGCAACGAGCGCAACCCCCUUUCUUAGUUGCUAACAGGUCAUGCUGAGAACUCUAAGGAUACUGCCUCCGUAAGGAGGAGGAAGGUGGGGACGACGUCAAGUCAUCAUGGCCCUUACGCCUAGGGCUACACACGUGCUACAAUGGGGUGCACAAAGAGAAGCAAUACUGCGAAGUGGAGCCAAUCUUCAAAACGCCUCUCAGUUCGGAUUGUAGGCUGCAACUCGCCUGCAUGAAGCUGGAAUCGCUAGUAAUCGCAAAUCAGCCAUGUUGCGGUGAAUACGUUCCCGGGUCUUGUACUCACCGCCCGUCACACCAUGGGAGUUGUGUUUGCCUUAAGUCAGGAUGCUAAAUUGGCUACUGCCCACGGCACACACAGCGACUGGGGUGAAGUCGUAACAAGGUAACCGUAGGUGAACCUGCGGUUGGAUCACCUCCUUUCUAGA
Molecule: ribosomal RNA, 1509 nt
Filed under: Helicobacter pylori
Lineage: Bacteria; Pseudomonadati; Campylobacterota; Epsilonproteobacteria; Campylobacterales; Helicobacteraceae
Description: bacterial SSU rRNA
Rfam family: Bacterial small subunit ribosomal RNA
Source: RNAcentral